UACGUAGGGUGCGAGCGUUAAUCGGAAUUACUGGGCGUAAAGCGUGCGCAGGCGGUUUGUUAAGACAGAUGUGAAAUCCCCGGGCUUAACCUGGGAACUGCAUUUGUGACUGGCAAGCUAGAGUAUGGCAGAGGGGGGUAGAAUUCCACGUGUAGCAGUGAAAUGCGUAGGGAUGUGGAGGAAUACCGAUGGCGAAGGCAGCCCCCUGGGCCAAUACUGACGCUCAUGCACGAAAGCGUGGGGAGCAAACAGG
Molecule: ribosomal RNA, 253 nt
Filed under: uncultured bacterium
Lineage: Bacteria
Description: partial 16S ribosomal RNA
Rfam family: Bacterial small subunit ribosomal RNA
Source: RNAcentral